This is a long non-coding RNA of Alligator mississippiensis (American alligator), 2436 nucleotides long. RefSeq lists it as uncharacterized. The transcript is spliced from 3 exons. NCBI's taxonomy places the organism in Eukaryota, Metazoa, Chordata, Crocodylia, Alligatoridae. The record is from RefSeq and is a predicted model, not a curated record.
GGCAGGAGCUCCUGGAGUAAUGAUGUGAGAAGCAGCGAGAACCGCAAGUACAGCUUGACAUGAGGUCAGAUCCAAAGGAGUGCAGUGGUGCAGCUGCAUACCCUUUUGGACCAUGCUGUGGGAGCAGCAGCUGAAGACUUUAAGUACCUGAAGCAGGUUCGUUACGAGAGAAGACCCAAACUAUUAUAAUCUGGUUCCAAGUCUCUGCCAGCUCCAGUGACUGAGGUUGGAAGCAGGAGUACAGGCAUCCCUGCAGCACUGGACACUGUUCCUGUACAUCUCUUUACAAAAUCCUGGAUCCUUGCAUGUACCUUUCUGAUUUCUCCUGGGGUCAUUUUUAUAUUUGCACCUUCCUCAUGAUUUUGCAAGGGAUACUGGCAAAAGCAGUACUACGUAUUUUACUACAAAUGCCGUGUGUGUGUGUGUGUGUGUGUGUAUGAAUGAAUUUAUGUGUAAGGAUUUUUAUGGUUCUUCAUAUAUAUGCACACAUCAAAUUUGCCUAAACACUGUACUGUGAUACCCCAGAGUCAGUUUCUAGUUCUCUACCAAAUGUACAUUUUAUCCCUGUCUGUCUAUACUGUAAGCUUGCAGGAAAUACUUGCUAAUAUGUGGCACCAUUGUCAUCUGAGAUCCUCUAGUACUGAAAUGAUACAAAUAAUAAUGAUAGACAGAUUUUUAUCUUAUUGUGCUGUUAACAUAUAAGCCAUGUGGCUUAUAUGUUAAGUCAUUUAUGUAAUCACUGUGAGUGUGCAUACAUUUGACCAAUAUCCUUGAGUUCCAUAUCAUGUUCCAUAUUCCUUGGCUACAAGGGAAAAUUAUUUAGUACUUUCAAGAUAAAAAAAAAAAUAAAUAAAAAAAAUGGGGGGGGUGGUAUUUGUGUUUUUAAAGUUUGAGGUAAUUUAUGAAAGAAUAUCAAAACUAUUACAAUCUGGUUCUGAGUCACUGACCCCUAAGAAACAAAUGGCUUUGAAUACUAAUGUAUUAAUUUUCUGAAAAAAACAAAGCACAGGGUUAGAUAUGAGUUGCAUUUUUUACUGUACAAGAUUUGCUUGUGCUACAACAUGAUGAGAGUAAAUAGGGUGACCUGCUCCUUAAGCACAUAUAUUUAUAAUGUGUAGGUUUUUAAAAAAAUACUUUAUUUUUUUUUCCCAUGGGAACUUCUUGAAGUUUUUUAAGUAGAAAAUAGAGGGCAUAAUAGGGUUACCAUAUUUCCAGUUUAGAGAGAAAAGGACACGUGGGGAGGGGUUAUAUGAUUGUGGAAGGGUGGGAUAGUAAUAUGCCCAUGCCCCUCAUUCCCAAGCCACAUCACCACCCCCAGUCCUGCUGCUGCCCCUCACUCCUGACCCAAAGUCCCCUGCUCCCCAGACCAUGCUGGUGCCCCUCACUACUGACCCACAGCCCCUUGCCAGUACCUCUCACUCCUGAACUGCAGCCCCCUGCUCCCCCCAGCACAGCUGGUGCCCCUCACUCCUGACCCAUAGCCUCUGCAUGCCCAGCCCUGCUGGAGGGGUGGGCACCUCCCCCACUUCCCCUCCCUGCUGCAGCCCCAGCAGACGCGCGCGCGCGCGCACACACACACACACACACACACACACACACACACACAUUUACAUACCUGCAUCUGUUGGGGCCAGCACACAGACACACAUGAUGGCCCUGCCUUCAAUCAUCCUGCCCCCACCUUCCCCCAGGUCCUAGGAAGCCCCUUUCUAGGGCAAGCCAGGAGGUAUUGGGAAAGCAGAGGCAGAGCAAAAUCCCAGACAUUUGCUGAUAUUUUAAGUAACUGCUGGGAUGGAGGUGGGAGGACCCAAAUAGAGGACAUGUCUGGUAAAACCCGGAUGUAUGGUAACCCUAAAGUAUAAGCCUCCUCAGGAGAGAUUAUGGGAAGCUCAGGUCCCGAUGCUUAUUUUGAUAGAUUCCCGCAGAUGAGGCUCAAUUCCUUGUUAUACCUGAUUGCUGAACCUAAGUCUUGUACAUUGGAGGUGAGUAUUGGAAUUUCAGAGGCUAUUGGAUAUACAGGGCUCAGUUUCUCUCUCACACAGAUAUUCUGGACCUGAAAAACUUUUCCCAAUGAAAAUUUAAUCAAAACUGGUAAUUUUCUAAAAAAAAAAAGUUUUAUUCUGAGAAACUAACAUUUUAUGAGGAAAACCACACAUCACUGGAAAACGUCUGACCAAAGCCAUUUAGGAUGUAUGAAGAAAAUCUUUUAUUUUUUAAAUUAGUCAGAGCUGCUGAUCCAUUAAGUAAUUAUGACUCUUUAAACAGAGUCAGCCAUAAAACAUGCUUGCAAUUCCAAGCAAAAGGGCACUUGAAAAGAAAAAAUAGAAGAAUACUAUAGUAUUGUCAUUUGAAUUUUUAAUAUAAUUGUAUCAUUAGAUUUCCAGAUGUAAUUAAUGACAAAACUAGUCUCUAAAUGAGAUUAAAACUAUGGUAGAU